GUGCUCACUUCAGCAGCACAUAUACUAAAAUUGCAACAAUACAGAGAAGAUUAGCACAGCCUCUGUGCAAGGAUGACACACAAAUGCAUAAAACAAUCUGCAAACGAAU
Nycticebus coucang (slow loris) is the source of this 109-nucleotide small nuclear RNA. The record is from RefSeq and is a predicted model, not a curated record. NCBI's taxonomy places the organism in Eukaryota, Metazoa, Chordata, Mammalia, Primates, Lorisidae.